ACUCGAUAAUCCACGAAUACUCAACCUUCUCUUGAUAACCCAGCAUGUGUACUGCCGUUGUAAGCAUACCUUUAAAAGAAUAAGUGUGCUUUUAUGACUACAAAAAUAGCUCAUAUACAUCAGGUCAAAGUGCAGCCAAUAAGAAGGAGAUGAUGGGUUACAACCCCCAAAAUAGACUAUCAACUAAGAAAUAAAAAAUCUUACGAAAGUGGACUUGGCCGUAAUCAAUUUAUAAGUUAAAAAAAUGAAUAAAAAUCUAAGACAUGCACACAUCGCCCGUCACUCUAUCCUAAAGGUUAGAUAAGUCGUAACAAAGUAGGUGUAAUGGAAAUUGCGCCUGUCGGAGUAUAGCAUAUAUAAUGCUUUUUACUUACACUAAAAAUAAAGUUAAACAACUUACUUCGCACAUAAAACAAAUCUUCAAACACACAUAAAUAAUAGAAACAACUAAAUAAAAUUUAAACAACAUUUAAGUACAGAAAUGGAACCAACAAUAAAUAACAGUAAUAAUUAAUAAUUGUACCUCGUGCAUUAUGGUUUUACAAGAAAACAAUUAACAACAACCGCCCCGAAUUCUAAAUGAGAUGUUUAACUGCUGUUAAGAACCCAUUAGUAACUGUGGAAAAAGAUUUAAAAGACAGUUAAACAGAGGCUACAUACCAUCCGCAUAAGAAUAUAGCUGGUUUUCAACAAACAUUAUACAUUAAAACAUAUAAUAAAUAUUAUAGUGUAAUAUUAUUGAGGAUAAGCCCAAUAAUACAAGCAAUAUAUAAAACAAUCAAUUAUCUCCUAUAGGCCUAAAAUCAGCCAACCAAAAUACUUUACCGUAAUAAAUAAAGAUAAAAUAUAUAACCAUAAAUGCUAAAUAAAGUUGAAAUAGUGAACAAAUCACAUACCCCACUUAUAAUAUGUAAAAAUAAGUAUUACAAAAUAAUAAGAACAACAACUCUAAUAAUCUACAACAAAUAAAGAAACAAUAAUUAAUUAAGGAACUCGGCAAACUAUUAUUUCGACUGUUUAACAAAAACAUUGUUCCAUGAUACAUAAUAUGGGAUA
RNAcentral lists this ribosomal RNA (1056 nucleotides) under Amynthas zhangi. RNAcentral describes it as "partial 12S ribosomal RNA". Lineage: Eukaryota; Metazoa; Annelida; Clitellata; Crassiclitellata; Megascolecidae. The record is from RNAcentral.